CUGGGUCCAUCGCGCUCCUCGGGCAGGUGAGGCGAAUGAGGAUUUUUGAUUUUGACGAGGAUCGGAAGAGAGAGAAUGAGAGUGGGCGAAAGGAUUGCGAGUGGGGAUUAGAGGGACAGCUGUUAAUAGAACAUAUGACGCAAGCUCAGUCGGGAUUCUGGCUUGACUGGGAGUGUGUACAUAGUGCGGUUUAGAGAUAGAAUAGAGAAGAGAGAGCUAGCGAGAGGGAGAAGCGCGAGUCCGGGAGCUAGAAGUGACGCCGGUGUAUUGAUCGGGGCUUGCGCUCUGGAUGCUCGGAAAGGUAGAGUAGCAGUGAGGAAGCAGCAGAUUGAGAGAAGGUCUUCUCUCAGUGAUAGCCAGACCCUGGACAAAGAAGAAGAGAAAAUAUGACUGCCGUAUCCGCGUGCACGCGUUUCAGCGACAACUACGACCUGAAGGAAGAACUCGGAAAGGGUGCUUUCUCCGUAGUUCGCCGCUGCGUGCAAAAGUGCACAGGCUGUGAGUUUGCGGCGAAAAUAAUUAACACGAAAAAACUUUCAGCGCGAGAUGAAGAAAUCAAGUUAAAUGAACUUCUCAGGUAUUACCCUAGAAAAGGUCUUUGGACCCUUCAGGAAAGCAGUAAAUUCAUAAUCUACUUUCAGAAGCUUGAAAGAGAAGCAAGGAUAUGCAGAAAAUUGCAACAUCCAAAUAUUGUUAGACUGCAUGACAGUAUUCAGGAAGAGAAUUUCCAUUACCUCGUGUUUGACCUAGUUACUGGAGGGGAAUUAUUUGAGGAUAUUGUAGCUAGAGAAUUUUACUCAGAGGCUGAUGCAUCACACUGCAUUCAGCAGAUUUUAGAAAGUGUUAAUCACUGCCAUCAAAAUGGAGUAGUUCAUAGAGAUCUAAAGCCUGAAAAUUUACUAUUAGCAAGUAAAGCAAAAGGUGCAGCAGUCAAGUUAGCUGAUUUUGGUUUAGCAAUUGAAGUCACAGGAGAACAACAAGCAUGGUUUGGAUUUGCUGGAACUCCAGGAUAUCUUUCACCAGAAGUACUUAAAAAGGAGCCGUACGGCAAACCAGUUGAUAUUUGGGCCUGUGGCGUUAUACUAUAUAUUUUACUUGUUGGUUAUCCUCCAUUUUGGGAUGAAGACCAACACAGACUGUAUGGACAAAUCAAAGCAGGAGCUUAUGAUUACCCCUCACCUGAAUGGGACACGGUGACACCCGAUGCAAAAAACCUAAUCAAUCAAAUGUUAACUGUUAACCCGACAAAGCGAAUAACAGCGUCUGAAGCACUAAAACAUCCAUGGAUAUGCCAACGAGAACGAGUUGCCUCAUUGGUGCAUAGACAAGAAACUGUAGACUGCUUGAAGAAAUUUAACGCUAGGCGUAAACUUAAGGGUGCAAUCCUUACGACGAUGUUAGCAACAAGAAAUUUCUCCAGUAAGUAUGAUACUGAUGGUCGAAGUAUAAUAACAAAAAAAGGCGACGGAUCUCAAGUGAAAGAAUCAACUGACAGUAGUACAACACUAGAGGACGACGAUGUCAAAGAGGACAAGGUAAAAGGCGGAGUGGAUCGUAGUUCAACAGUCAUAGCUAAAGACCCCGAAGAAAGCUCAGAUUACUGCUAUCAUCCGUUAAGGAUAAACUCCGAAGAAACAGAAGGGCCAACGCAGAUGUUCAAAUGUAUCUUGUCAUGAGUUGAAACCGUCAUGUUCUUGUUAUAUACAUUGGGUUGUUACCCCUCUGAUCUAGAACUAAGGAUCCACUGCUCGAAGACAGUCUCCCAGCUCUCGACAAACUCUUGUGGUUCAGCUAAGAAGCAAGAAGUGAUAAAAA
RNAcentral lists this unclassified non-coding RNA (1815 nucleotides) under Cimex lectularius (bed bug). Its description in RNAcentral is "calcium/calmodulin-dependent protein kinase type II alpha chain, transcript variant X24". The record is from RNAcentral. Lineage: Eukaryota; Metazoa; Arthropoda; Insecta; Hemiptera; Cimicidae.